AUUGAACGCUGGCGGAAUGCUUUACACAUGCAAGUCGAACGGCAGCACGGACUUCGGUCUGGUGGCGAGUGGCGAACGGGUGAGUAAUACAUCGGAACGUGCCCAAUCGUGGGGGAUAACGUAGCGAAAGCUACGCUAAUACCGCAUACGAUCUAAGGAUGAAAGCGGGGGAUCGCAAGACCUCGCGCGAUUGGAGCGGCCGAUGGCCGAUUAGGUAGUUGGUAGGGUAAAGGCCUACCAAGCCGACGAUCUGUAGCUGGUCUGAGAGGAUGAUCAGCCACACUGGGACUGAGACACGGACCGGACUCCUACGGGAGGCAGCAGUGGGGAAUUUUGGACAAUGGACGCAAGUCUGAUCCAGCCAUUCCGCGUGCAGGAUGAAGGCCCUCGGGUUGUAAACUGCUUUUGUACAAAACGAAAAGGCUCUGGUUAAUACCUAGGGCUCAUGACGGUACUGUAAGAAUAAGCACCGGCUAACUACGUGCCAGCCGCCGCCGUAA
Molecule: ribosomal RNA, 500 nt
Filed under: uncultured bacterium
Lineage: Bacteria
Description: partial 16S ribosomal RNA
Rfam family: Bacterial small subunit ribosomal RNA
Source: RNAcentral